AUUGAACGCUGGCGGCAUGCCUUACACAUGCAAGUCGAACGGCAGCACGGGAGCAAUCCUGGUGGCGAGUGGCGAACGGGUGAGUAAAGUAUCGGAACGUGCCCAGUCGUGGGGGAUAACGUAGCGAAAGCUACGCUAAUACCGCAUACGAUCUAUGGAUGAAAGCGGGGGAUCGCAAGACCUCGCGCGAUUGGAGCGGCCGAUAUCAGAUUAGGUAGUUGGUGGGGUAAGGGCUCACCAAGCCGACGAUCUGUAGCUGGUCUGAGAGGACGACCAGCCACACUGGGACUGAGACACGGCCCAGACUCCUACGGGAGGCAGCAGUGGGGAACUUUGGACAAUGGGCGAAAGCCUGAUCCAGCCAUGCCGCGUGCAGGAUGAAGGCCUUCGGGUUGUAAACUGCUUUUGUACGGAACGAAAAGGUUUGGCCUAAUAAGCUGAGCUCAUGACGGUACCGUAAGAAUAAGCACCGGCUAACUACGUGCCAGCCGCCGCCGUAA
This 500-nucleotide ribosomal RNA is filed under the name uncultured bacterium. Its description in RNAcentral is "partial 16S ribosomal RNA". It matches the Rfam family "Bacterial small subunit ribosomal RNA", at positions 30 to 523 of the family's 1533-position model. The record is from RNAcentral.